This 1540-nucleotide ribosomal RNA is filed under the name Klebsiella pneumoniae. RNAcentral describes it as "bacterial SSU rRNA". It matches the Rfam family "Bacterial small subunit ribosomal RNA". The record is from RNAcentral. Lineage: Bacteria; Pseudomonadati; Pseudomonadota; Gammaproteobacteria; Enterobacterales; Enterobacteriaceae.
AAAUUGAAGAGUUUGAUCAUGGCUCAGAUUGAACGCUGGCGGCAGGCCUAACACAUGCAAGUCGAGCGGUAGCACAGAGAGCUUGCUCUCGGGUGACGAGCGGCGGACGGGUGAGUAAUGUCUGGGAAACUGCCUGAUGGAGGGGGAUAACUACUGGAAACGGUAGCUAAUACCGCAUAAUGUCGCAAGACCAAAGUGGGGGACCUUCGGGCCUCAUGCCAUCAGAUGUGCCCAGAUGGGAUUAGCUAGUAGGUGGGGUAACGGCUCACCUAGGCGACGAUCCCUAGCUGGUCUGAGAGGAUGACCAGCCACACUGGAACUGAGACACGGUCCAGACUCCUACGGGAGGCAGCAGUGGGGAAUAUUGCACAAUGGGCGCAAGCCUGAUGCAGCCAUGCCGCGUGUGUGAAGAAGGCCUUCGGGUUGUAAAGCACUUUCAGCGGGGAGGAAGGCGUUAAGGUUAAUAACCUUGGCGAUUGACGUUACCCGCAGAAGAAGCACCGGCUAACUCCGUGCCAGCAGCCGCGGUAAUACGGAGGGUGCAAGCGUUAAUCGGAAUUACUGGGCGUAAAGCGCACGCAGGCGGUCUGUCAAGUCGGAUGUGAAAUCCCCGGGCUCAACCUGGGAACUGCAUUCGAAACUGGCAGGCUAGAGUCUUGUAGAGGGGGGUAGAAUUCCAGGUGUAGCGGUGAAAUGCGUAGAGAUCUGGAGGAAUACCGGUGGCGAAGGCGGCCCCCUGGACAAAGACUGACGCUCAGGUGCGAAAGCGUGGGGAGCAAACAGGAUUAGAUACCCUGGUAGUCCACGCCGUAAACGAUGUCGAUUUGGAGGUUGUGCCCUUGAGGCGUGGCUUCCGGAGCUAACGCGUUAAAUCGACCGCCUGGGGAGUACGGCCGCAAGGUUAAAACUCAAAUGAAUUGACGGGGGCCCGCACAAGCGGUGGAGCAUGUGGUUUAAUUCGAUGCAACGCGAAGAACCUUACCUGGUCUUGACAUCCACAGAACUUUCCAGAGAUGGAUUGGUGCCUUCGGGAACUGUGAGACAGGUGCUGCAUGGCUGUCGUCAGCUCGUGUUGUGAAAUGUUGGGUUAAGUCCCGCAACGAGCGCAACCCUUAUCCUUUGUUGCCAGCGGUUCGGCCGGGAACUCAAAGGAGACUGCCAGUGAUAAACUGGAGGAAGGUGGGGAUGACGUCAAGUCAUCAUGGCCCUUACGACCAGGGCUACACACGUGCUACAAUGGCAUAUACAAAGAGAAGCGACCUCGCGAGAGCAAGCGGACCUCAUAAAGUAUGUCGUAGUCCGGAUUGGAGUCUGCAACUCGACUCCAUGAAGUCGGAAUCGCUAGUAAUCGUAGAUCAGAAUGCUACGGUGAAUACGUUCCCGGGCCUUGUACACACCGCCCGUCACACCAUGGGAGUGGGUUGCAAAAGAAGUAGGUAGCUUAACCUUAGGGAGGGCGCUUACCACUUUGUGAUUCAUGACUGGGGUGAAGUCGUAACAAGGUAACCGUAGGGGAACCUGCGGUUGGAUCACCUCCUUA